ACUCCUACGGGAGGCAGCAGUGGGGAAUAUUGCACAAUGGGCGCAAGCCUGAUGCAGCCAUGCCGCGUGUAUGAAGAAGGCCUUCGGUUGUAAAGUACUUUCAGCAGUGAGGAAGGUGGGUAUGUUAAUAGCAUAUUCAUUUGACGUUAGCUGCAGAAGAAGCACCGGCUAACUCCGUGCCAGCAGCCGCGGUAAUACGGAGGGUGCGAGCGUUAAUCGGAAUUACUGGGCGUAAAGCGCAUGCAGGUGGUUUGUUAAGUCAGAUGUGAAAGCCCGGGGCUCAACCUCGGAAUUGCAUUUGAAACUGGCAAACUAGAGUACUGUAGAGGGGGUAGAAUUUCAGGUGUAGCGGUGAAAUGCGUAGAGAUCUGAAGGAAUACCGGUGGCGAAGGCGGCCCCCUGGACAGAUACUGACACUCAGAUGCGAAAGCGUGGGGAGCAAACAGGAUUAGAUACCCUGGUAGCACA
This 468-nucleotide ribosomal RNA is filed under the name uncultured bacterium. Its description in RNAcentral is "bacterial SSU rRNA". It matches the Rfam family "Bacterial small subunit ribosomal RNA", at positions 335 to 797 of the family's 1533-position model. The record is from RNAcentral.